This 120-nucleotide ribosomal RNA is filed under the name uncultured bacterium. RNAcentral's name for it is "partial 16S ribosomal RNA". It matches the Rfam family "Bacterial small subunit ribosomal RNA", at positions 28 to 144 of the family's 1533-position model. The record is from RNAcentral.
GAUGAACGCUAGCGGCAGGCCUAAUACAUGCAAGUCGAACGGUAAGUGUUAUAGCAAUAUGACACCAAGAGUGACGCACGGGUGCGUAACACGUAUGCAACCUACCCUUUACAGGCGGAU